RNA transcript from Prionailurus viverrinus (fishing cat), 5852 nucleotides. It is a transcript of the gene named coiled-coil and C2 domain containing 2A, with no coding region annotated. NCBI's taxonomy places the organism in Eukaryota, Metazoa, Chordata, Mammalia, Carnivora, Felidae. The record is from RefSeq and is a predicted model, not a curated record. The transcript has 37 exons.
CUCCCAGAGCUUCAGCCUCCCAGGGAGCAGCCCUGGGUCCGCCCCAACGCUCAGCCUUUCCCUUUGGACUCUUUCAGAAGAUUCGACAGCAAGACUCCGUCUCUCCCCACUUUCCUUUCAUCCCAGGAAGUGGAAUCUGCAAAGCGCUUUGUAAAGUUGCUUAAGGAGCAGACACUGCAGCCAAAAUGAAUCCCAAGGAAGAAAAAGUGAAAAUAAUCACAGAGGAGUUCGAUGAAAAUGAUGAGGAUGCGGGUGUGGGAAGCCAGAAGAAGACCUCAAAGAUGGCAAGACAGAAAAGGAAGAAACCGCUGCCCGCCGCUGGCCCCGAGGAAAUGGUGUCUGAAAAUCCCCACCUAGGCAACCAGCCGGAGCCCCUGCAGGAAGAUUCUGACACUCGCCCCUUGAGCAUGACCACCCGUCGAGGCCCCCGGAGCUUACCUCCAAUUCCUUCAGCUUCCAGAACGGGCUUUGCAGAAUUUUCCAUGAGGGAACGCAUGAGGGAGAAAUUGCAGGCUGCCAGGUCCAAAGCAGAAAGCACGCUGCUGCAGGAAAUCCCCACCCCUCGGCCCAGGCGCUUACAGAGUCCCGGUGAGAAAGAACUGGAGACCGAAUUUGGCACGGAGCCAGGGGAGGAGGCACAAAAGACUCAACAAGAAGAUGAUUCCCAAAGUCACUCGAGAGUAAAGUUCCGUGAUUCUGUACGAAAAAUCAAGACUAAACCCCCGGUCCCACCUGGCUUCCCUUCUGCCGAAGAAGCCUAUAACUUCUUCACUUUCAACUUUGAUCCUGAACCGGAGGAAUCAGAGGAAAAACCAAAAGCAAAAAAUAGAGAUGGAACUACCCAAGAGGAGGAGGAAGGAGAGGAAGAAGAGCCACCUGUGCAGGGAAUCCACAAAACGGAUGAACAAUUGCUGAUUAGUGCUACAGAGGCCGAGGCUUUUCUGUGGGGCUUAGAUCACGCAGCUGCAGAUUUUGUGGCAGUCAGACCUGCAGAUUAUGAAAGCGCCCACGUCCGACUACAGAUGGAAAAAGAACUCCUGUUCGUGCCCAGCAGGCUGACAGUGCCUACGUAUAAAAAGCUUCCCGAGAACGUACAGCCCAGAUAUCUGGAAGACGAAGGCCUGUACAUCGGCACAAGACCGGACGUGCCUCGCACCUGUCAGAACAUCAUGGAGAACAGGUUGCUGACACAGGAACCUGGAAGAAGGUGGUUCGGAGACGAUGGGCGAAUCGUAGCACUGCCAAACCCCAUCAAGCCAUUUCCUUCAAGACCACCGGUGUUGACACAGGAGCAAGACUUCAGGGCAGAACUUGAAACAUUGUAUAAAAAGGCGGUAAAAUAUGUCCACAGAAGUCAGCACAUGAUUGGGUCUGGAGACUCCCCGGGAAAUUUCCAACUGGACAUUGAUAUUUCAGGGUUAAUCUUCACUCAUCAUCCCUGUUUCAGCCGCGAGCAUGUUUUGGCAGCCAAGCUGGCCCAGUUAUAUGACCAGUACCUGGCAAGACACCAGAGAAACAAGGCAAAAUUUCUUACUGACAAGCUCCAAGCUCUAAGAAAUGCUGUUCAGACAGGACUUAACCCAGAAAAAACUCAUAAGUCUCUUGAUACGACCCAAAAAACUAUCAAUGAGUAUAAAUCUGAAAUUCGGCAAACAAGAAAACUGCGUGACGCUGAACAAGAAAAAGAUCGAAUGUUGCUUAAAACCAUCAUAAAAGUUUGGAAGGAGAUGAAAUCCCUUCGAGAAUUUCAGAGGUUUACAAAUACACCCUUGAAACUUGUUUUGAGAAAGGAAAAGGUUGACCAGAAAGCAGACGAAGAAGCAUACGAAGCAGAAAUUCAAGCCGAAAUAAGCGAGUUGUUGGAAGAACACAUGGAAGAGCACGAGCAGAAGAUGGAAGCGUACAGAGCCGCGUACCAACAGUGGAAAGCCUGGAAGAAAGCCCAGAGGGCCAAGAAGAAGAAAAAGAAGCAAGCAGUCGAAGAGCAUCCCGAAGAGGAGAUGGGGGAGCCGUAUCCUGAGGAGGAUCCGGUGAAACCGGUCCCCCCGGAACCCACCGAUCGGGCCCUGAUGGAGCACCAGGUGAGGGAGAGGGCAGCCCGGAGCAGGAGAAGGCCUGGGGAGCCGCUGCUGGUCCCGGAGCUGAGCCUGGCAGGGAGCGUCACACCCAACGAGCAGUGUCCCAGGGUGGAGGUCUUGCGAAGGGAGGACGUCAAGAGACGCUCAAUAUAUCUAAAGGUGAUCUUCAACGACAAAGAAGUGUCCAGGACCGACAGUCGGCCCCUCGGGGCAGACUUCCGAGUUCACUUUGGACAGAUUUUCAAUUUGCAAAUAUUCAACUGGCCGGAGAGUUUGACACUGCAGGUAUACGAAACAGUUGGACACAGUGGCACCACUUUGCUGGCAGAAGUGUUUCUGCCUAUUCCUGAAACGACCAUUGUCACUGGAAGGGCUCCCAUUGAAGAAGUGGAGUUUAGCAGUAACCAGCAUGUGACCCUGGACCACGAGGGUGUUGGAAGUGGAAUGCCCUUCUCGUUUGAAGCUGAUGGUAGCAAUCAACUGAUUCUCAUGACCUCGGGGAAAGUGUCCAACAGCGUGGCAUGGGCCAUUGGAGAAAAUGGGAUCCCUUUGAUUCCUCCACUGUCACAGCAGAACAUCGGAUUUAGAAGUGCUUUGAAGAGAGCAGAUGCCAUCUCGUCCAUCGGCACAUCGGGACUGACAGACUUGAAAAAGUUGGCCAAGUGGGCAGCAGAGUCCAAGCUCGACCCAAAUGACCCCAACAAUGCCCCUUUGAUGCAGCUAAUCUCGGUUGCUACUAGCGGUGAAUCCUACGUCCCUGAUUUCUUUCGACUGGAACAGCUGCAGCAAGAAUUUAACUUUGUUUCAGAUGAGGAGUUAAAUAGAUCCAAACGAUUCCGGCUUCUUUGUCUUAGAAGCCAAGAGGUGCCAGAAUUCCGAAAUUACAAGCAAAUUCCAGCAUAUGACCGGGAAAUUAUGGAAAAGGUAUUCCAGGACUAUGAGAAACGGUUACGAGACAGAAAUGUAAUUGAAACCAAGGACCACAUAGAUCCCCAUAGGGCCAUGGUAGCCAAGUACCUCCAACAGGUUAGAGAAUCAGUGAUCAAUCGUUUCCUAAUUGCAAAACACCAUUUUCUUCUUUCGGAUUUGAUAGUAGAAGAAGAAGUUCCCAAUAUCAGCAUUUUGGGGCUAAGCCUUUUCAAGCUGGCAGAACAAAAGCGACCACUGAGGCCAAGGAGAAAAGGCCGGAAGAAGGUGACGGCCCAGAACCUGUCCGACGGAGACAUAAAGGUGCUGGUGAACAUUAUCCGGGCUUAUGACAUUCCUGUGAGGAAGCCGACAGCAAGCAAAUUCCAGCAGCCAUCAAGGUCUUCAAGGACUUUCAGCGAAAAGCAUGCUGCCUCCCCAACCACACACAGCCCAACCCACAGUGCUGACUACCCCCUCGGCCAGGUUUUAGUACGUCCUUUUGUAGAAGUUUCUUUUCAACGAACGAUUUGCCACACAACUACAGCUGAAGGACCAAACCCCAGCUGGAAUGAAGAACUUGAACUUCCAUUUAGGGCCCCCAAUGGAGACUACAGCACAAGCAGUUUGCAGUCAGUGAAAGAUGACGUGUUCAUUAACAUUUUUGAUGAAGUGCUCUAUGAUGUCCUCGAGGAUGACCGUGAAAGAGGAAGUGGAAUCCACACCCGUAUUGAGAGACACUGGUUGGGAUGCGUGAAGAUUCCAUUUAGCACGAUAUAUUUCCAAGCCAAGAUUGAUGGGACAUUUAAAAUAGACAUUCCCCCCGUUCUCCUGGGCUACAGUAAGGAACGGAGCAUGAUUAUCGAGCGGGGUUUUGACUCCGUGCGAAGCCUGAGUGAAGGCUCCUACAUCACCCUGUUCAUCACCAUGGAGCCUCAGCUGGUUCCCGGGGAGUCGGUUCGAGAAAAGUUUGAUUCUCAGGAAGAUGAGAAAUUGCUGCAAGCAACGGAGAAGUUUCAAGCUGAAUGUGCCUUAAAGUUUCCACAUCGUCAAUGCCUCACGACAGUGACUGACAUAAGUGGAAAAACCGUCUUUAUCACUCGUUACCUCAAGCCAUUAAACCCUCCACAGGAGCUCUUGGAGGCCUGCCCCAACAACCCACAAGCAACGGCAGAACUGGUGGCCCGAUAUGUGUCAUUGAUUCCUUUCUUGCCUGACACUGUUUCAUUUGCUGGCAUCUGUGACCUGUGGAGCACAUCUGACCAAUUUCUUGAUCUCCUGGCAGGAGACGAAGAAGAGCAUGCGGUUUUACUAUGUAAUUAUUUUCUCUCCCUGGGUAAAAAGGCCUGGCUGGUGAUGGGCAGUGCUAUUCCUGAGGGUCCAACUGCCUAUGUUCUAACUCGGGAGCAAAGUCACUAUUUAAUAUGGAAUCCCUGCAGUGGACAUUUUUAUGGACAAUUCGAUACAUUCUGUCCCUUAAAAAGUGUGGGCUGUUUAAUAGGUCCCGAUAAUAUUUGGUUUAAUAUUCAACGACAUGACUCACCACUACGGAUAAAUUUUGAUGUCACCAAGCCCAAGCUAUGGAAGUCUUUCUUUUCAAGAAGUCUUCUAUAUCCUGGCCUUUCCAGUGUUCAGCCAGAAGAACUAAUUUACCAGCGCACAGACAAAGCGGCCGCAGCUGAGCUACAAGACAGGUCAUACAAUACCCAUAAAUCCACAUGCAAUCUGUCACUAGGAGUGCAAUCCCAAACUAAACAAUUCUCAGCCUGGAUCCAUAAUCUGAGCAGUUAAACUUCAGUUCAUGUUUAUAGACAGAUACCAAAUACAGAUGUGAUCUCUAAAUGCCACAGCCCAAAGGGCAGAUGGAACAAACAGAAGUGAGCUCCAGCAAUGACAGGUAGUUUUCCGAAACUUUACCUCAGAUUAGAGUUCAGCAUCAUGUUGUUAUGGUUGCUGUUCAGACAUGUCAUAAUCCUCAACUUAAAAUAUGCCUCUUUUGUCCAAUAGUGGCUUACUGAACUGCAGCUAGUUUAUAAACCGAACACAUGGGGAAGUCUGGUCUCUAUGAGAUUUAAUGAUAUUAACUCCCCAUAAUCCUCAUAACCCUGUAAAACAAAACUUACUCUUCCAGUUUUGCAAAUGUGGAAACCGAGGUUCAGAGAGGUCAGCAUACUUGUUAAGUGUUAGAGGGGGCUUCUGUGCCCAGCCAGGUCUUUCUGAUUUCAAAGCCUGUGUGCUCUUUCUACUGUAUCAAGCUGUGUAAAGAGCAGCAUGUCAAACACACAAGAAUAACUGUGACCCUUUUUAAGUUAUUACGACUAGAAGACACCAAUUUAUUCUCAAUUUCAAAUCUAUAUAAAGCCUUACUGGAGACCCCCACCUAGAGCAACUAACUCCCCCCAAAAGUCUUUUUUGUUUCUUCUGAUGGUUUCAGGAUACUGUAUUAAUUAGACCCACAUCAUUUAUUCUUCCAAUACUGAUGAAGUGUGUGGCAAUUCACCCAUACUCUCUUGCUCGGGCCAUCUUGAAACCCAGAAUGAAAAUAUGUAGAAUGUGCCAAACAAGAAGUGGAUCCUACAGCUACUGAGCAGUGGGGAGCUGGCUGGUCCCCUAAAUCUGUGUUUGGUUAGGGAUACACAGGAGGCUUUAGAAUUGACAGGGUUUUGACUCAAACCCCAGCUCCCUUGCCAUUGUCAACUCACUUAUCCUACUUCAAACUGUCCCCAGGUAAGUAAAAUCCACCCAUAGAGUCACUGUUAGGAUUCAUGUUUAUUAACUUUUGAGAGAGAGACAGAGCAUAAGUGGGACAGGGGCAGAGAGAGAGGGAGACACAGAAUCCCAAGCAGUCUAUUAUAGACAUCUGACUCU